Microplitis mediator is the source of this 850-nucleotide long non-coding RNA. RefSeq lists it as uncharacterized. The transcript is spliced from 4 exons. The record is from RefSeq and is a predicted model, not a curated record. Lineage: Eukaryota; Metazoa; Arthropoda; Insecta; Hymenoptera; Braconidae.
UAAAAAUUCGAAUGAGAAGAAAAGGAUGAGAGAUGAGAAGAAUAAACGAGACCGGGGGCGGAGGACGUGAGCCGUGAUUACCUCAGGGCAUUCCUGGCUGAGGUCCCAACCCGGGUCAAAUCCGUUCUUGCUUACUGCGCUAUGGGAAAACGCUAAACGAUCGGCUCACAUCACUCACAAUCCGCUCUGCUUUCGUAUUAAUGAAGUGAACUCACUUUGUAAGCGUUUCCAACGAUGAUGUGUAUAUGGUUCCGCCGACGUCGAUGUGAACUGGUGCUGUGUAUCUAGAUGCUGCUGCAACACAGGGUAUACCUGGCAUUUUAGUAUUGUAUGCUGGUGCUACUGGUGUUGGUGGUGUCGGUGACGAUGAAUUAGACAUCGUGGGCGACGUUGCUGGCGAACUGCUUGGCGACAGCAAUCUGACAAAUAUACUUUCAAUAUUAGGUAAAAAAAUAACGAUACAUGAGUCUGCUUAAAGCCUGAGAUAUACGAAGGCAUAUACGCGGAUUUACGAUUCGAACGACUUUUAUUUACUGCCCGCCGAGAGAAUACGAUAUAAUAUGAGAGUGUGUUCAUCCGCCUACGAGUAAGAUCGCGAGUAAAGAGUCAACAUAACAGUGGCGUAACCAAUCCUCAGACCACAGAAGAUUUUUAAUUUUUAAAUUAUGUCCCCACAGUUUUUCAUUCCCAGACAAAUAUGAUAUAUGUCCACGGGUAAAUAUGAUGUGGAUUCGUAUAUAUAUGAAUAGUCAAGAGGUUAAAGUGGUAUAUAGUAGUAGAAUAGAAGACAAGAGAAGAGGAAGAAUAGUGUAUAGAGAAAUAUGAGAUAAAAGAGUAGAGUAGAAUAUCG